RNAcentral lists this ribosomal RNA (599 nucleotides) under Mesorhizobium sp. M8A.F.Ca.ET.173.01.1.1. Its description in RNAcentral is "bacterial SSU rRNA". It matches the Rfam family "Bacterial small subunit ribosomal RNA", at positions 944 to 1533 of the family's 1533-position model. The record is from RNAcentral. Lineage: Bacteria; Pseudomonadati; Pseudomonadota; Alphaproteobacteria; Hyphomicrobiales; Phyllobacteriaceae.
GUUUAAUUCGAAGCAACGCGAAGAACCUUACCAAAUCUUGACAUCCUUUGACAACUCUAGAGAUAGAGCCUUCCCCUUCGGGGGACAAAGUGACAGGUGGUGCAUGGUUGUCGUCAGCUCGUGUCGUGAGAUGUUGGGUUAAGUCCCGCAACGAGCGCAACCCUUAAACUUAGUUGCCAGCAUUUAGUUGGGCACUCUAAGUUGACUGCCGGUGACAAACCGGAGGAAGGUGGGGAUGACGUCAAAUCAUCAUGCCCCUUAUGAUUUGGGCUACACACGUGCUACAAUGGACAAUACAAAGGGCAGCUAAACCGCGAGGUCAUGCAAAUCCCAUAAAGUUGUUCUCAGUUCGGAUUGUAGUCUGCAACUCGACUACAUGAAGCUGGAAUCGCUAGUAAUCGUAGAUCAGCAUGCUACGGUGAAUACGUUCCCGGGUCUUGUACACACCGCCCGUCACACCACGAGAGUUUGUAACACCCGAAGCCGGUGGAGUAACCAUUUAUGGAGCUAGCCGUCGAAGGUGGGACAAAUGAUUGGGGUGAAGUCGUAACAAGGUAGCCGUAUCGGAAGGUGCGGCUGGAUCACCUCCUUUCUAAGGA